GUUGGAUCUGGAAGUUUCUACACCGACAGAGGCUUUUGUCUAUAAUAUCAGCGGGUUUAGUCAUUCAUCAAAUCCAAUUUCAAAGCCACCAUCUUUGUUGCAUACCCAAGCUCAGAAGCACAACCAUUCAUCCAGAGAGAACAAUUAUCAAGAACGUUUGUUUCUUCAAUUCAGUUCUCUAAUUUAGACGAAUCAGAAACGAUUCGAGCUCUGUUUUCGGAAUCCAAAAGAAAGAAGGAAAAUCCAAUUCCAAACGACUUCGAUCGUCUUCUUGAGCAUACAAGACACAGAUAGAGAGAGAGAGAGACCGGGAGAAGAAGGGGAAGUGAUGGCAUCUACCAGCACAACGAAACGGGUCAAAAGAUUGUUGGAAGGAGGAUGUAAACCUAAUCAAUUUUAUCAAGUUAAUUCAAAGAGAUGGAAAAGAAUGUUUAAGGAACAAGUAGUUGAAGGAUCGAAUACAGUUGGAGAUGAAGAUGCGUUCGCAAUGCCGGAAGGCCUGCUGCUUGAUUUCCUGACGUGAAUAAAGAUGGAUAAUGUUGCUUCAGAGAAUAAAGAUAUCCAGUUGAGCAGUCAGAGAUCUUUGAAGGAUUGAGCUCCAGGUAAGCUUCUUAUGGUUUAUUGGUUUUAAAUUUUGGUACAUGCAGUUUUGGGUGACUUUAAUGAAUUUGGGAUCUUCAAUUUUGUUUACAUUGUAAAACUCUAUAAUCCAAGAAUACAUAUUAAGUGAUAACCAUCAUGAUGUCCAGCCAAGUAAAGCUCUAACAUAACCUAAGGUCUGAACGUCAUCUGCAAUAACACUAAUGUUUCAAUUGAAAUCAUUCAGUUCAUUGAACCACAAAGAUGUAGACUUUAUUAAUUUUCAUUAUAACAGAAUCAAAAGAAGCAUUUGCUUUUCUGGUAGCCAA
Long non-coding RNA from Rosa rugosa (rugosa rose), 908 nucleotides. RefSeq lists it as uncharacterized. The transcript is spliced from 5 exons. Lineage: Eukaryota; Viridiplantae; Streptophyta; Magnoliopsida; Rosales; Rosaceae. The record is from RefSeq and is a predicted model, not a curated record.